This 160-nucleotide ribosomal RNA is filed under the name Persicaria chinensis. Its description in RNAcentral is "5.8S ribosomal RNA". It matches the Rfam family "5.8S ribosomal RNA". From Rfam's summary of the family: 5.8S ribosomal RNA (5.8S rRNA) is a component of the large subunit of the eukaryotic ribosome. It is transcribed by RNA polymerase I as part of the 45S precursor that also contains 18S and 28S rRNA. Functionally, it is thought that 5.8S rRNA may be involved in ribosome translocation. The record is from RNAcentral. Lineage: Eukaryota; Viridiplantae; Streptophyta; Magnoliopsida; Caryophyllales; Polygonaceae.
AACGACUCUCGGCAACGGAUAUCUCGGCUCUCGCAUCGAUGAAGAACGUAGCGAAAUGCGAUACUUGGUGUGAAUUGCAGAAUCCCGUGAACCAUCGAGUCUUUGAACGCAAGUUGCGCCCAAAGCCUUCGGGCCAAGGGCACGUCUGCCUGGGCGUCAC